RNAcentral lists this long non-coding RNA (885 nucleotides) under Olea europaea (common olive). RNAcentral describes it as "long non-coding RNA (OEUR_LNC014172)". The record is from RNAcentral. Lineage: Eukaryota; Viridiplantae; Streptophyta; Magnoliopsida; Lamiales; Oleaceae.
AUCACGUCCAAAAUGAUCGGCAAUCCCUCCUGCAUGAAUUUCCCACACGAUGAAAUCUCGCACGGAAGUUCAAGGGAUGCACAAUUUAUUGGCUCGAAAGAGAUAACCCUCCUCAAGUCAGAAGCCAUCUGUGACGCCUGAUUGUCCCCUUUGUAAAUCAAGAAAGAUAUCCUUAAAAUCAGGACAUGCCUCGUAAUCCUCCUUAAGUCUUUCAAAACCAAUGACCUUGACACUCAUGAUCGACAAAAGGGAGACCCGACGACUUAAUGCAUCAGCUGCUUGGUUCUCUAUACCCUUCUUGUGUUUCAAAACAAAUGAGUAGGCCUGCAAAUAUUCGACCCAACGACCAUGCCUAGAACUUAAUCUUUUUUGGGAGUUGAGGUAACGGAGGGCCUCGUGAUCCGAAUAAAGGACAAAUUCCUGGGGUAACAAAUAGUGGCGCCAAUAGCGCAAAGCCUGGACCACUGCAUACAGUUCCUUAUCAUAAGUUGAGUACCGCUGUUUGGCUUCAUUUAACUUCUCACUGAAGUAGGCAACACGGUGACGAUCCUGACUUAAGACUCCGCCUAUACCUACCCCGGAGGCGUCACAUUCAACUUCAAAGACUUUGGAAAAAUCGGGAAGACGCAUGACAGGGGCCUCCGUCAUUCGCUUCUUAACUAACUUAAAGGCCUUAACCGCCUCUUGUGUCCAAUGAAACUCCCCUUUCUUCAAGCACUCCGUAAUAGGCGCCAUAAGAGUGCUAAACCCCUUAAUAAAGCAACGGUAAAAUGUAGCUAAGCCAUGAAAGCUCCUGACGUCAUGAAUAGCUUUAGGCUCAGGCCAGUCAAUAAUCAUCUGAGCCUUAGCAGGGUCAGCAGAUACUCUUGUCGAAGAGACAAUGAA